Molecule: long non-coding RNA, 1497 nt
Organism: Carassius auratus (goldfish)
Lineage: Eukaryota; Metazoa; Chordata; Actinopteri; Cypriniformes; Cyprinidae
Exons: 4
Source: RefSeq, a predicted model, not a curated record
UUUAUUCAGAAGUACAUUUAUAACAGAAUGGCUAUUAGAAUAUAUAAUAUUGAAAGAUUAAUUAGUUACAGUGUUUUGUGUCUGUUAAUGAGCGACUGUCUCCAGGUAAAUGAUGUGAGUGUGUUUGCAUAUUGAUCAGAUGCUUCAGUGCUCUGAGAGUGUUUAUAGUGCUGUGAGUUUAACACUUCAUCACUGACACACACAACAAUCUUCAUCAACAUGACCUUCAUCAUCAUCUUCAUCUGGACUCUUUCAUACUGCUUUAUACUACAAGUGGUGCUCGCUGCUUCCAUGGUGGUGAGAGCGUUCUGUAACGACUGUGUAAGGAGUGGCAGCAAGCAAGGGCUAGGUAAAUGAUAUUUAAUGAGAAUAAUGAGACAAUACAAAAAUGAGACACAAAUAACGCUGGGAGGAAUGCACAGUCCAUGAUGGUGGUGAUGAAUGAUGAAUCCGGAAGGUGGAGGUGAGUUGGCAGCAGGAGAGGGUGACACAGGAACUGCGGGGAAGCGAGCCGAAGAAUUGAACCUACAACCAACAGAAAUGACUUUCAUCACCAUAUUGAUCUGGACUCUGACUGUAUUAUGUAGAGAAUCUAUUGGGCAGGUGACAGUGACUCAAACUCCCUCAGUGCUGCUCGCUCAAACUGGACAAUCAGUCACUGUGACCUGUACAUUUAACAGAGAUCCAGCCUGCUGUUGUAAUGGAAAGCAUUGUCUCAGCUGGUACUUACAGAAACCUGGAGAAGCUCCUAAACUCCUGAUUUAUGGAACAAGCAGCCGUCAGUCAGGAACUCCAUCUAGAUUCAGUGGCAGUGGAUCUAACAGUGAUUUCACUCUGACCAUCAGUGGAGUCCAGACUGAAGAUGCUGGACAUUAUUACUGUCAGAGUUUUCAUUGCAGAACAAAUUCUUAUGGUAGCUGUGGGGGUGAUCAUGUGUUCACACAGUGAUUGUGAGUCGUACAAAAACCUGUGUCAGUCAGAGUCACAGUGACUGAACUGAUGCUGCAGCUGAUCAAACACUAUCACUCACUCUACAGAGAAGGUUUUCAUGGAUAUUAAAUUAAACAAAGUGUACAUUGAGUCACCCACUUGCUAACUACUUUAUCGUAUUAAAUCUUUAUCUUAUUAAACUGAUCCAACACUAAAGGUGUAUAUCUGUGAGGUUCAUCAUUUGACAGCAUGUUCUUGUUUCAUCAUGAAUCUGCAGGUGUUUUCACGCCCCACUGAGUGAAGUUUAUUUGAGGAAACACCUUGAUCCAAUGAAUGACUCGAAAAAAUGGCAAUAAACAACAGGGAGACAAUAAGUAACAAUUGUAUUUUAUUUAAAUUUUAAUAGAAUCAGGACUGAAUGAUAAAGCACACACAUAUGUUCUUGUAUGAAGCACACAAAGCAGAGCAGAUGCAGAUGCGAGCGACUGAAGCUGGAUGUGGAGAAUGAAGGAGUCGCUCAUGUGCUGUUAGUCUCCAUGUGAGACAUGAGUGAGAAGAGCAGCAGAU